This 497-nucleotide ribosomal RNA is filed under the name uncultured bacterium. Its description in RNAcentral is "partial 16S ribosomal RNA". It matches the Rfam family "Bacterial small subunit ribosomal RNA", at positions 28 to 507 of the family's 1533-position model. The record is from RNAcentral.
GAUGAACGCUGGCGGCGUGCCUAAUACAUGCAAGUCGAGCGAACAGACGAGGAGCUUGCUCCUCUGACGUUAGCGGCGGACGGGUGAGUAACACGUGGAUAACCUACCUAUAAGACUGGGAUAACUUCGGGAAACCGGAGCUAAUACCGGAUAAUAUAUUGAACCGCAUGGUUCAAUAGUGAAAGACGGUUUUGCUGUCACUUAUAGAUGGAUCCGCGCCGCAUUAGCUAGUUGGUAAGGUAACGGCUUACCAAGGCAACGAUGCGUAGCCGACCUGAGAGGGUGAUCGGCCACACUGGAACUGAGACACGGUCCAGACUCCUACGGGAGGCAGCAGUAGGGAAUCUUCCGCAAUGGGCGAAAGCCUGACGGAGCAACGCCGCGUGAAUGAUGAAGGUCUUCGGAUCGUAAACCUCUGUUAUUAGGGAAGAACAAAUGUGUAAGUAACUAUGCACGUCUUGACGGUACCUAAUCAGAAAGCCACGGCUAACUACGUG